AUGGAGAGGUUCCCCGGCAAGGUCGCCGCCGCCGUGUUCGCAGCCGCCGGGAUGCCGUGCGUUGGCAAGCACAUGGGCGUCACCACCGAGGAGUUCAUGCGAAGGACAUCAUCGGAAGGACUCAUGGACUGCAAGAUGCUGCCAAUCAAUAACAACCACGGUGCAGGGGUUGCAAUGAUAAUGGGCCCAAACUUCUUAGCACGCAAGAACUACCAGCAAAGUUCACCUGAGGAUUUGGCCCUGGCAAAAAUGUUGGUGAGACCGGGAAACCUGUUCAUGGAGGAUCCGGUGAUGAAGGAUGCAAGCCUGCUCACCGAUACCAACUACGGGUCGGUGAAGAAGGUAUAUGUGGUAGCAAAGGCUGAUGGCUCCAGCACCGAGGAGAUGCAGCGUUGGAUGGUGUUGUUGAGCCCCGGCACGGAGGCCGAGGAGAUCGCGGGAGCUGACCACGCCAUCAUGAGCUCGAGGCCUAGGGAGCUCUGUGAUGCUCUGGUCAAGAUCGCCGACAGCUUAAAUACUUGCUAA
Molecule: ribosomal RNA, 525 nt
Filed under: Triticum aestivum (bread wheat)
Lineage: Eukaryota; Viridiplantae; Streptophyta; Magnoliopsida; Poales; Poaceae
Description: partial small subunit ribosomal RNA
Source: RNAcentral